This 374-nucleotide RNase P RNA is filed under the name Paludibacteraceae bacterium. Its description in RNAcentral is "RNase P RNA component class A". It matches the Rfam family "Bacterial RNase P class A". From Rfam's summary of the family: Ribonuclease P (RNase P) is a ubiquitous endoribonuclease, found in archaea, bacteria and eukarya as well as chloroplasts and mitochondria. Its best characterised activity is the generation of mature 5'-ends of tRNAs by cleaving the 5'-leader elements of precursor-tRNAs. Cellular RNase Ps are ribonucleoproteins. The record is from RNAcentral. Lineage: Bacteria; Pseudomonadati; Bacteroidota; Bacteroidia; Bacteroidales; Paludibacteraceae.
AAAGCAAAUCGGUCUGCCGCUACCGAGGGAAAGAAAAGCAUCCGUGCUUUAAUCUCAUCGGCAGAGGAAAGUCCGGGCAGCGCAGAGCACCACAGCGGUUAACGGCCGUCAGGCAGAGCGAAGCGGAUGAGUAUAUGCACCUGCAUGGACACAUCUGGCCGCGAAUGUUUGGUCACUGCUACAGAGACGAGUGAAGUGAAACGAGCACACUGUGGGCUGCAAUUCCAUGUAUACCAACGUCCGAGCGUUGCUCGCGCAAGUCUUUGACACGUUGGAGGGUAGGAAGCGAGAGAAACGCGUGGUAACACGACGUUCGAGAUUAAUGGCAGACACCCUUCGGGGCACAGAACCCGGCUUAUAGAUUUGCCUUCUUU